This 84-nucleotide transfer RNA is filed under the name Paenibacillus thiaminolyticus. Its description in RNAcentral is "tRNA-Leu". It matches the Rfam family "tRNA". From Rfam's summary of the family: Transfer RNA (tRNA) molecules are approximately 80 nucleotides in length. Their secondary structure includes four short double-helical elements and three loops (D, anti-codon, and T loops). Further hydrogen bonds mediate the characteristic L-shaped molecular structure. tRNAs have two regions of fundamental functional importance: the anti-codon, which is responsible for specific mRNA codon recognition, and the 3' end, to which the tRNAs corresponding amino acid is attached (by aminoacyl-tRNA synthetases). tRNAs cope with the degeneracy of the genetic code in two manners: having more than one tRNA (with a specific anti-codon) for a particular amino acid; and 'wobble' base-pairing, i.e. permitting non-standard base-pairing at the 3rd anti-codon position. Lineage: Bacteria; Bacillati; Bacillota; Bacilli; Caryophanales; Paenibacillaceae. The record is from RNAcentral.
GUGUGCGUGGUAGAAUGGCAGACACGCCCGACUUAGGAUCGGAUGUCGCAAGACGUGGGGGUUCAAGUCCCCCCGCAUGUACCA